This 219-nucleotide ribosomal RNA is filed under the name uncultured bacterium. Its description in RNAcentral is "partial 16S ribosomal RNA". It matches the Rfam family "Bacterial small subunit ribosomal RNA", at positions 111 to 334 of the family's 1533-position model. The record is from RNAcentral.
UAAUGUAUGGGGAUCUGCCCGAUAGAGGGGAAUAACUACUGGAAACGGUGGCUAAUACCGCAUAAUGUCUACGGACCAAAGCAGGGGCUCUUCGGACCUUGCACUAUCGGAUGAACCCAUAUGGGAUUAGCUAGUAGGUGGGUAAAGGCUCACCUAGGCGACGAUCUCUAGCUGGUCUGAGAGGAUGAUCAGCCACACUGGGACUGAGACACGGCCCAG